RNA transcript from Aedes albopictus (Asian tiger mosquito), 3718 nucleotides. It is a transcript of the gene named snake venom 5'-nucleotidase, with no coding region annotated. The transcript has 8 exons. The record is from RefSeq and is a predicted model, not a curated record. Lineage: Eukaryota; Metazoa; Arthropoda; Insecta; Diptera; Culicidae.
UCAGUCCGUUGUUGACCGUCGAGAAAAUUGGACGUAAUUCGGUUCAGGUGGGGAGCUCUCGCGCGGAAUCGAAAUCGGAAUCGCAGCAAGCCAUUGAAAUUUCCUUCCAUUCAGUGACAGCUGAGUGGGAAACUUAACCUUCAAGGCUCUUCGACAAAUAUUUUUGGACGACAACGGGAGGAAGUUGAUUUUUUUGGCAACCAACAAGGACAUCAUCGUACAUAUUUGAUUUGCAAACGCGUCGAAGCAGAAGAAAAGCGCAGUUUUUCCUUUGAGGCGUUCUUUCUCCAAGCUAUUGUGUGCCAUUUGGUGAGUUCAGUGCAGUGUGUGGCUUUUUGCGGCGGAUUCACCAUCAUCAUUCAGUGUGGGAAAAACGGGUGGAAAGGGAAAACCAAAAGUGCUGGGCUUGGUAGGAUUGAAGUAACGCUGUUCAGAAUCGAAUAAUACAAUUUUUGUUGGGAGGAGGAAUAUCGAUUCGGUAAAGACAAAAAGGCAAAAGCAGUCAGCAGUGGGAAUUUCUUGUUCGGAGCUGCAGUCACGGUUGGCGAUAAGGAAGCCACAUCAAUCGUUCGGCUUGGAACUACGAGGACUCGGUUAUCAAAGAGUCAAUAAGCGGAGGGGGAUUCUCGCCCACCCAAAGGACCACCCGCAAUCAGUAAGUGAGUGAUUGUGACCCCCCUCCCUGGCGGAGAAAUGGCUGGCUUUGCGUCCCAAGCGGCGCUUCGCUCCAAGUGGGGUGACCUGGUAGACAGUGGUUCGACCGGUAUCGAAACAUCGGAGGUGUCACAAGGAUUCAAAAAUGUCGUCGGAUGGCUCAAACAGGCAUCGGUGGAAGUGCGGGAAGCAGGCAAGCGAGCCGUAACACAGCUUCAGACCACCACUACACCGCACCUGAGGCACCUCAACCCGGGAACACUGAUUAAGCAGGGCAUACCGGUGAAUGAGCGAACAGCAGACGGAGACAGCAGCAUGAACAGCACGACGGCCAGCAACGACAGCCACAGCAAGUUGACCAUCCUGCACUACAACGAUGUGUACAACAUUGAUGCCACCUGCAAGCAGGAACCGAUCGGUGGAGCCGCUCGGUUUUGCACGGCGGUCAAAGCGUUCGACCACCUGAACCCGCUGGUGCUGUUCAGCGGGGAUGCUUUUUCGCCCAGCAUGCUGAGUACCUUCACACGAGGGGAGCAGAUGGUCCCGGUGCUGAAUUCUGUCGGAACGCAUUGCGCUGUGUUCGGAAAUCACGAUUUUGAUCACGGCCUGGACGUGCUGGCCGAGUGGGUCGAAAAGACUACGUUCCCCUGGCUGAUGUCCAACGUGGUAGACAACGAAACGGGUCGUCCGCUGGGUGGCGGAAAGAUCACACACAUUCUGCACCACAAUGACGUGAAAAUCGGUCUCAUCGGACUGGUGGAGAAGGAGUGGCUCGACACGCUGCCCACGAUCGAUCCCAACGAGGUGACGUACAUAGAUUUCAUCAAAGCCGGCAACCAGCUGGCGGACGAACUGCACAAUCAAGGAUGUGAUAUCAUCAUUGCGUUGACGCACAUGCGGACUCCCAACGACAUUGAACUGGCCAAGCAGAGUGGGCAUAUUGAUCUGAUCUUGGGAGGGCACGAUCACGUGUUUGAAAUACUCAAUAUUGAAGACACACAUGUGAUUAAAUCGGGAACGGAUUUCCGACAGUUCUCGAGGAUCGGUAUCAAUACCGAGCGGAAUGAGAAUGACAAGAUUAGCAUCACGGUCGAGAAGGUCGAUGUGAUUUCAACAAAGUACAACGAAGAUCCCGAGCUAAGAGAAGAACUGAAGAAGUACUCAGAAACGAUCGAGUCCAAAAUGGAUGAGAUCUUGGGUGUGUUUCAUGUCGACUUGGAUGGUCGAUUUUCCUCCAUCCGAACGUCGGAAACAAACUUGGGUAACUGGAUUUGUGAUGUAGCGCUGGCAGCAACCGGAGCUGAUGCGGUUAUGAUCAACUCAGGAACAUUCCGAUCUGAUCAGAUCCACGGGGCAGGUCCGUUUACGAUGCGUGACUUGGUUAACAUCAUCCCCAUGCAGGAUCCACUAAUAGUGCUAGAAGUUACGGGUAAAGUAUUGCACGAAGCGUUGGAAAACUCCGUAUCCACCUAUCCCAAGUUGGAAGGUCGGUUCCCACAAAUAGCUGGUAUGUCAUUUGCAUUUGACCCGACGCAACCGCCGGGGCGACGCGUGGAAGCUAGAUUGGUACGAAUUGGCGACGAAUGGCUCAAACUAGAUCAAACGUACACACUGUGCGUGAAAAGUUACAUCCACGGAGGAUGCGACGGCUACACCAUGUUCAAGGGAUGCAAAGUGCUCAUGGACGACGAUGCCGCCCCGGAGCUGGGUUUGGCAAUUCAAAACCACUUCAAGGCGAUCGAUGUCCGGAUGGGAAAGGCACAUCACACCAAGCACCGGCAGUCACUGGUGACGCUAUCGCGGCGACACAGCAUGGUGCAGAUGUUGGAGAAUCUCGAGCUCGAUGGUCCAACGCCGAUCCGGCGGAAAUCGACCGUCACGCAACCGAUGCGGCACGCAAGCAUGGAACACGUCAACCGAGGAAAGCUACUCCGACGAGCAUCGCUCGACGAUUUGGAGCAAAGUAGUUGUCAACUAUCGCCAAGCAUUCAACACCGGAUAGUGGUAGUACAGAACCAAGAACACAUUCACGAGAUGAUCCUGCGACGAGAAACAAUGGAAGCGAACUGCGUCAUCAAAGAAACCGACGAGCUAACUCCGUAAGUGUUGGAUCGAGUUGGCUCGCCUGACGACGUGUGGUGUGUGCUAUUCAUUGAAACCCGAACCGUUCUGUACGACGGCUCGUUUUUACACUAUUCAAUUUCACCAGCAGCGCUCUCUUUUGCAUACCAGCAACAAUAUUUAUUGCCUAUCAUCAUUAUCAUACCGCAGUAUCAUCGAGCACCAUUUCAGCCUGCGUAACCAUGAACGGAUUCUACAACUACAAUGGAACCUCCCCAAACGUGAACCAGUCACCUCAUCCUUCCUCCUACGUUCCCAAUUGACAACAAAAACGGUUUGUUUCAAUCACCGCAUCUUUGUGCCUCGAAGCAACUUCCCCUCUCAGAAAUUUGUUGUUCAGAUUUCAAUCAUUGUACAUAGAAAUCCGCAGCAUUCAUCCCUCAAUAUAUUGUUACAGUUAUAAAUAUUUAAUGGAAAUAUAUAAAUUUAUGGUGGCAGUUCAAUGUCGCCUUGUUGUGUACUCCCGUUUUUACUCUAUAAAUACUACACGAAAUGAUACUCAAAAGUAUGUUUUCUAUUCUCCAUCAGUUAAAAACCGCAAAUGUUGUCACAAGGAUACCGUUACUCUCUGUCAUAGUCUAUUGAGAUGUUCAAUUUAUAAUUCCGUAUUCAAAAUAACGCAACAGAACUCUAAAACAUCCCACUCCACUUAGAUAUGUGUUAAAUAAUAAACAAUUUAUGAGAAAAAAAACUGUCAUCGUUAGAAACGAAAAAUAGGUCAGUCAAACUAACUAUGGUCCCGUACUGUGAACGUGUAUGUGUGUGCAUAGCGCUGCUAGGAAGUUGUAGAGAACAGGACCAGAGAGCUACGCAAUGCAUAGUGGAACCUGAUUGGCAACCAAUCGAGGUUGCAUGGUAUGUGAAGGGUCAUACGAUUCAUUGGAUAUCUGUGAAACUCAAAUGGAUGUAUUGAGAGAAGAAAAUACAUUUUAACUAGCAUGAA